GCAUAUCAAUAAGCGGAGGAAAAGAAACCAACAGGGAUUGCCUCAGUAACGGCGAGUGAAGCGGCAACAGCUCAAAUUUGAAAUCUGGCCCCCCGGCCCGAGUUGUAAUUUGCAGAGGAUGCUUCGGGCGCGGUGCCUUCCAAGUCCCCUGGAACGGGGCGCCGGAGAGGGUGAGAGCCCCGUACGGUUGGCGGCCAAGCCUGUGUGAAGCUCCUUCGACGAGUCGAGUAGUUUGGGAAUGCUGCUCUAAGCGGGAGGUAGACCCCUUCUAAAGCUAAAUAUAGGCCAGAGACCGAUAGCGCACAAGUAGAGUGAUCGAAAGAUGAAAAGCACUUUGAAAAGAGGGUUAAACAGCACGUGAAAUUGUUGAAAGGGAAGCGCUUGCGACCAGACGUGCGCCGGGGUGCUCAUCGGGCGUUCUCGCCCGUGCACUCGCCCCGGCGCAGGCCAGCGUCGGUUCUCGUGGGAGGAUAAAGGCCCCUGGAAUGUGGCUCCUCCGGGAGUGUUAUAGCCCGGGGUGCCAUGCUCCCCUGCGGACCGAGGUUCGCGCAUCUGCAAGGACGCUGGCGUAAUGGUCCCCAGCGACCCGUCUUGAAACACGGACCAAGGAGUCAAGGUUUUGCGCGAGUGUUUGGGUGUAAAACCCGCACGCGUAAUGAAAGUGAACGUAGGUGAGAGCUUCGGCGCAUCAUCGACCGAUCCUGAUGUUUUCGGAUGGAUUUGAGUAAGAGCGUUAAGCCUCGGACCCGAAAGAUGGUGAACUAUGCUUGGAUAGGGUGAAGCCAGAGGAAACUCUGGUGGAGGCUCGCAGCGGUUCUGACGUGCAAAUCGAUCGUCAAAUCUGAGCAUGGGGGCGAAAGACUAAUCGAACCAUCUAGUAGCUGGUUACCGCCGAAGU
Molecule: ribosomal RNA, 898 nt
Filed under: Pseudophialocephala xalapensis
Lineage: Eukaryota; Fungi; Ascomycota; Sordariomycetes; Chaetosphaeriales; Chaetosphaeriaceae
Description: LSU rRNA
Rfam family: Eukaryotic large subunit ribosomal RNA
Source: RNAcentral